GAUGAACGCUGGCGGCGUGCCUAAUACAUGCAAGUCGAGCGAACAGACGAGGAGCUUGCUCCUCUGACGUUAGCGGCGGACGGGUGAGUAACACGUGGAUAACCUACCUAUAAGACUGGGAUAACUUCGGGAAACCGGAGCUAAUACCGGAUAAUAUAUUGAACCGCAUGGUUCAAUAGUGAAAGACGGUUUUGCUGUCACUUAUAGAUGGAUCCGCGCCGCAUUAGCUAGUUGGUAAGGUAACGGCUUACCAAGGCAACGAUGCGUAGCCGACCUGAGAGGGUGAUCGCCCACACUGGAACUGAGACACGGUCCAGACUCCUACGGGAGGCAGCAGUAGGGAAUCUUCCGCAAUGGGCGAAAGCUUGACGGAGCAACGCCGCGUGAGUGAUGAAGGUCUUCGGAUCGUAAAACUCUGUUAUUCGGGAAGAACAAAUGUGUAAGUAACUAUGCACGUCUUGACGGUACCUAAUCAGAAAGCCACGGCUAACUACGUG
This 497-nucleotide ribosomal RNA is filed under the name uncultured bacterium. Its description in RNAcentral is "partial 16S ribosomal RNA". It matches the Rfam family "Bacterial small subunit ribosomal RNA", at positions 28 to 507 of the family's 1533-position model. The record is from RNAcentral.